RNAcentral lists this ribosomal RNA (496 nucleotides) under uncultured bacterium. RNAcentral's name for it is "partial 16S ribosomal RNA". It matches the Rfam family "Bacterial small subunit ribosomal RNA", at positions 29 to 507 of the family's 1533-position model. The record is from RNAcentral.
AUGAACGCUGGCGGCGUGCCUAAUACAAGCAAGUCGAGCGAACGGACGAGAAGCUUGCUUUUCUGAUGUUAGCGGCGGACGGGUGAGUAACACGUGGAUAACCUACCUAUAAGACUGGGAUAACUUCGGGAAACCGGAGCUAAUACCGGAUAAUAUUUUGAACCGCAUGGUUCAAAAGUGAAAGACGGUCUUGCUGUCACUUAUAGAUGGAUCCGCGCUGCAUUAGCUAGUUGGUAAGGUAACGGCUUACCAAGGCAACGAUGCAUAGCCGACCUGAGAGGGUGAUCGGCCACACUGGAACUGAGACACGGUCCAGACUCCUACGGGAGGCAGCAGUAGGGAAUCUUCCGCAAUGGGCGAAAGCCUGACGGAGCAACGCCGCGUGAGUGAUGAAGGUCUUCGGAUCGUAAAACUCUGUUAUUAGGGAAGAACAUAUGUGUAAGUAACUGUGCACAUCUUGACGGUACCUAAUCAGAAAGCCACGGCUAACUACGUG